GACGAACGCUGGCGGCGUGCUUAACACAUGCAAGUCGAGCGGUAAGGCCCUUUCGGGGGUACACGAGCGGCGAACGGGUGAGUAACACGUGGGUGACCUGCCCUCAGCUCUGGGAUAAGCCCGGGAAACUGGGUCUAAUACUGGAUAUGACUCCAUGACGCAUGUUGUGGGGUGGAAAGCCUUGUGCGGCUGAGGAUGGGCCCGCGGCCUAUCAGCUUGUUGGUGGGGNGAUGGCCUACCAAGGCGACGACGGGUAGCCGGCCUGAGAGGGCGACCGGCCACACUGGGACUGAGAC
This 296-nucleotide ribosomal RNA is filed under the name uncultured bacterium. Its description in RNAcentral is "partial 16S ribosomal RNA". It matches the Rfam family "Bacterial small subunit ribosomal RNA", at positions 28 to 325 of the family's 1533-position model. The record is from RNAcentral.